RNAcentral lists this ribosomal RNA (354 nucleotides) under Draco quinquefasciatus. RNAcentral's name for it is "12S ribosomal RNA". Lineage: Eukaryota; Metazoa; Chordata; Lepidosauria; Squamata; Agamidae. The record is from RNAcentral.
GCCUGACUGUAAACUACUAGCCAAAAAAGUACUGGCCCACGCUUCAAACUUUAAGGACCUGGCGGUACUCUAUAUCAACCUAGAGGGGCCUGCCCUGUAACCGAUAACCCACGAAGAACCUCACCACCCCUCGCCUUCAGCCUAUAUACCGCCGUCUUCAGCACAUUUCACAAAAAAUGAAGCCCGAUAGUACCUCGCACUAAUACGUCAGGUCAAGGUGUAGCCAAUGAGGUGGAAAAAAGCGGACCACACUAUAAUAACACACAGAAACCCUAUUGAAACAUAGGGUGAAAGACGAAUUUAGCAGUAAGAGGGCCGAAUGCCCCACUGAACCAAACCCGCCCUAGAGUACGC